UACAGAGGUCCCAAGCGUUGUUCGGAUUCACUGGGCGUAAAGGGUGCGUAGGCGGUCGGGUAAGUCUGAUGUGAAAUCUUCAAGCUUAACUUGGAAACUGCAUCGGAUACUAUUCGGCUAGAGGAAUGGAGGGGAGACUGGAAUACUUGGUGUAGCAGUGAAAUGCGUAGAUAUCAAGUGGAACACCAGUGGUGAAGGCGAGUCUCUGGACAUUUCCUGACGCUGAGGCACGAAAGCCAGGGGAGCAAACGGG
RNAcentral lists this ribosomal RNA (253 nucleotides) under uncultured bacterium. RNAcentral's name for it is "partial 16S ribosomal RNA". It matches the Rfam family "Bacterial small subunit ribosomal RNA", at positions 524 to 776 of the family's 1533-position model. The record is from RNAcentral.